Molecule: ribosomal RNA, 695 nt
Filed under: uncultured Tricholomataceae
Lineage: Eukaryota; Fungi; Basidiomycota; Agaricomycetes; Agaricales; Tricholomataceae
Description: partial 18S ribosomal RNA
Rfam family: Eukaryotic small subunit ribosomal RNA
Source: RNAcentral
AAUGAUUAAUAGGGCAUAGUUGGGGGCAUUGGUAUUGAGUCGCUAGCAGGUGAAAUUCUUGGCAUUGACUCAAGUACUCGACUAUUGCAGAAAGUCAUUUGACGCAAGGAUGUUUUCAUUAAUCAANAACNAANGUUANGGGAUCGAAAACGAUCNGAUACCGUUGUAGUCUUAACAGCUAAACUAUGCCGACUAGGGAUCGGGCGACCUCAAUUAUGAUGUGUCNCUCGGCACCUUACGARAAAUYGAAGUCUUUGRGUUCUGGGGGGUAUGUAUGGGUCUGCAAGGCUGAAACUUAAAGGAAUUGWCGGAAGGGCACCACCAGGUGUGGAGCCUGCGGCUUAAUUUGACUCAACACGGGGAAACUCACCASGUCCAGACAUAACURGGAUUGACAGAUUGAUAGCUCUUUCAUGAUUUUAUGGGUGGUGGUGCRUGGCCGUUCUUASWUGGUGGAGUGAUUYGCUCUGGUUAAUUCCGAUAACGAACGAGWSCUUAACCUGCUAAAUAGCCAGGCCGGCUUUCGCUGGUCGCCGGCUUCUUAGAGGGACUGUCAGCGUCUAGCUGACGGAAGUUUGAGGCAAUAACAGGUCUGUGAUGCCCUUAGAUGUUCUCGGGCCGCACGCGCGCUACACUGACAGAGCCAGCGAGUUUUUUUUCCGGGCCGGAAGGUCCAGGGUAANCCAGNGAAUANU